RNAcentral lists this long non-coding RNA (522 nucleotides) under Bos taurus (domestic cattle). RNAcentral describes it as "long non-coding RNA NONBTAT002878". Lineage: Eukaryota; Metazoa; Chordata; Mammalia; Artiodactyla; Bovidae. The record is from RNAcentral.
UUGUGAAUGACAUACAGCCAACUUACUGGCAACUUACACCAGCAGAGAAAGAAGAAUAUUUUUCACCUUGCAUUUUCCAUUUUCAGGGGUAGUCAGUCACAUUUUUCUGACCAAAAUUUGGAUUUAUAAUUGAGGUCUUUCAAAAAUGACUGGCUGAAAAAAGAGGAAUAUGUGUUCUCCUUGAGGCAGAAGUUGCGGGCACUUUGAAUUCAGGGCGCAUUUGUAUAGAAGUGAUUUUAUUUUGAUGCUUUCUCCCUCAUAAAUUAUCAUGUGUUAUAACAUGUCAUGGAGAUAUGCAUAUAUAACAUUAGACAGUCCACUUUAUAAAUGCUCAGGAUUGUUAACAUCCAUCAUCUCAGCAGUCUGUUACUACAUGCAGUAUCUUAAAAUUAUUUCCAAUUAUCCAUUUUUGUAACAAUGAAGAAUUUACAAAUGAAAUCUGAAUUGUUAGAGUUACAAAGAAUUUGUAGCGUAAUUUAUUUAUUUGUCUUUUUGUGGCCAAAUAUCCCACUGUCAUCACUC